RNAcentral lists this ribosomal RNA (545 nucleotides) under Rhodotorula mucilaginosa. RNAcentral's name for it is "partial large subunit ribosomal RNA". It matches the Rfam family "Eukaryotic large subunit ribosomal RNA", at positions 95 to 656 of the family's 3401-position model. The record is from RNAcentral. Lineage: Eukaryota; Fungi; Basidiomycota; Microbotryomycetes; Sporidiobolales; Sporidiobolaceae.
GAAGCGGGAAGAGCUCAAAUUUAUAAUCUGGCACCUUCGGUGUCCGAGUUGUAAUCUCUAGAAAUGUUUUCCGCGUUGGACCGCACACAAGUCUGUUGGAAUACAGCGGCAUAGUGGUGAGACCCCCGUAUAUGGUGCGGACGCCCAGCGCUUUGUGAUACAUUUUCGAAGAGUCGAGUUGUUUGGGAAUGCAGCUCAAAUUGGGUGGUAAAUUCCAUCUAAAGCUAAAUAUUGGCGAGAGACCGAUAGCGAACAAGUACCGUGAGGGAAAGAUGAAAAGCACUUUGGAAAGAGAGUUAACAGUACGUGAAAUUGUUGGAAGGGAAACGCUUGAAGUCAGACUUGCUUGCCGAGCAAUCGGUUUGCAGGCCAGCAUCAGUUUUCCGGGAUGGAUAAUGGUAGAGAGAAGGUAGCAGUUUCGGCUGUGUUAUAGCUCUCUGCUGGAUACAUCUUGGGGGACUGAGGAACGCAGUGUGCCUUUGGCGGGGGUUUCGACCUCUUCACACUUAGGAUGCUGGUGGAAUGGCUUUAAACGACCCGUCUUG